AUAAAUGGGACAAAUGAUUUUUAGCCAGAUUAAAAAUGGAAUUACAGUAAGUCCCUCUAAAUGGCAACACAUGUAACAUGCUGAUUGUAUGGAACAUAUUUUCUACUAAUAAAACCUGUUCUUUCUUUUGCAAUCUGAAGGCAGACAGAAUUCAAGAUCUCAAGAUCUGUGCAAAAAUUAUAAUGUACUGGUUUUACAUUUCUGAAAUAAUUCAAAUCUUAUAUUCUACCUCUACUCUAUAUUGAAUGACAUUCAGGAGCCUCAAAGCCCAAUUACUUUCAAUUAACUGUGAGAGUUUGCCACCUAGAGGAAGAAAAUAUAAACAUGUUUGAAAAAUAGUUUCACCACACAGCAUAGUUUGUAUUUGUGUUAAGUGGUCCUAAAAUCAAAAUAUUAAUGUUCAUA
Long non-coding RNA from Sapajus apella (tufted capuchin), 405 nucleotides. RefSeq lists it as uncharacterized. The record is from RefSeq and is a predicted model, not a curated record. Lineage: Eukaryota; Metazoa; Chordata; Mammalia; Primates; Cebidae. The transcript is spliced from 2 exons.